Molecule: long non-coding RNA, 220 nt
Filed under: Elaeis guineensis (African oil palm)
Lineage: Eukaryota; Viridiplantae; Streptophyta; Magnoliopsida; Arecales; Arecaceae
Description: long non-coding RNA (EGUI_LNC021894)
Source: RNAcentral
GCUCUGAAAUAGAGGCCUCAACAGUCUCAAGCCUCCGAAGAUAUCACCCACCUCCAUCCUGUUCCACUUCAUCAGAUGCCUUCUUAUCAACUCCAGCCUCCCGAUCAUCUAGUAUCUAACAUCACCCCAAACCAGCAACCUCCAAACCUCCGUAAUAAGAUCCCAAGAUCUAGGAUAGAAGAGCCAAAACUUCUUAAAUCAAAAGGAGCUCUAGUGAGAG